This 558-nucleotide ribosomal RNA is filed under the name Trichoderma harzianum. RNAcentral describes it as "eukaryotic LSU rRNA". The stretch from base 169 to 322 matches the Rfam family "5.8S ribosomal RNA". Lineage: Eukaryota; Fungi; Ascomycota; Sordariomycetes; Hypocreales; Hypocreaceae. The record is from RNAcentral.
CCAAACUGUUGCCUCGGCGGGAUCUCUGCCCCGGGUGCGUCGCAGCCCCGGACCAAGGCGCCCGCCGGAGGACCAACCAAAACUCUUUUUGUAUACCCCCUCGCGGGUUUUUUUUUUAUAAUCUGAGCCUUCUCGGCGCCUCUCGUAGGCGUUUCGAAAAUGAAUCAAAACUUUCAACAACGGAUCUCUUGGUUCUGGCAUCGAUGAAAAACGCAGCGAAAUGCGAUAAGUAAUGUGAAUUGCAAAAUUCAGUGAAUCAUCGAAUCUUUGAACGCACAUUGCGCCCGCCAGUAUUCUGGCGGGCAUGCCUGUCCAAGCGUCAUUUCAACCCUCGAACCCCUCCGGGGGGUCGGCGUUGGGGAUCGGCCCUGCCUCUUGGCGGUGGCCGUCUCCGAAAUACAGUGGCGGUCUCGCCGCAGCCUCUCCUGCGCAGUAGUUUGCACACUCGCAUCGGGAGCGCGGCGCGUCCACAGCCGUUAAACACCCAACUUCUGAAAUGUUGACCUCGGAUCAGGUAGGAAUACCCGCUGAACUUAAGCAUAUCAAUAAGCGGAGGAA